Molecule: ribosomal RNA, 333 nt
Filed under: uncultured bacterium
Lineage: Bacteria
Description: partial 16S ribosomal RNA
Rfam family: Bacterial small subunit ribosomal RNA
Source: RNAcentral
CCUACGGGAGGCAGCAGUGAGGAAUAUUGGUCAAUGGGCGGAAGCCUGAACCAGCCAAGUAGCGUGCAGGAUGACGGCCCUACGGGUUGUAAACUGCUUUUAUACGGGAAUAACGCGCCUUACGUGUAGGGCUUUGCAUGUACCGUAUGAAUAAGGACCGGCUAAUUCCGUGCCAGCAGCCGCGGUAAUACGGAAGGGUCGGGCGGUAUCCGGAUUUAUGGGGGUUAAAGGGAGCGUCGGCCGCAUGUCAAGCGUGCUGUGAAAUGUUCGGGCUCAACCCGGGCCUUGCAGCGCGGACGGGCGUGCUUGAGUCCGCGGGAAGCAGGCGGAAUU